AUUGCAGGCUGCAACCCGCCUGCAUGAAGUCGGAAUUGCUAGUAAUCGCGGAUCAGCAUGCCGCGGUGAAUACGUUCCCGGGCCUUGUACACACCGCCCGUCACACCAUGGGAGCCGGUAAUACCCGAAGUCAGUAGUCCAACCACGUGAGGACGCUGCCGAAGGUAGGAUUGGCGACUGGGGUGAAGUCGUAACAAGGUAUC
RNAcentral lists this ribosomal RNA (203 nucleotides) under uncultured bacterium. RNAcentral describes it as "partial 16S ribosomal RNA". It matches the Rfam family "Bacterial small subunit ribosomal RNA", at positions 1297 to 1500 of the family's 1533-position model. The record is from RNAcentral.